AACACGGACCAAGGAGUCUUGUACACGCGCGAGUCAAAGGGCUGGCUAAACCCCAAGGCGAAACGAAAGUAAUAAUUUCGAUAGGGCCGAUCCGGUUCUUGGUGAGCGAGAGGGAAGGGUUUGUCUCUCCCUAACCUUCGGGGAGGGGAUGUAGCGAUUCCUUCCUUCAAUCUCGCCUCGAUUUGUCUCCCUGUAUGAGGACGGCGCAGGCCCGGGGCUCGCACGCGACCUCCCGGCCAUUAUGCUCGAGCGUUCGUUUUCUCCGGGCGGCGUUCACGCGGUCCACCCGUCGCGGUGCUUCUGCCGAGUCUGGCUGCUGCUAUCUAGCCGCUUCGGCGUGUUGGUUAGUUUGUCAGUCAGUUAGGCAGUCGGUUAGUCGACGGCGGGUCCCGCUGAUGCGUCGUUCGAGGAUGCGUUGCGCAGGCUCGGGUCGAGCAGCCGGUUCUUCGAGCGCGUUUCCUAGUACCCGAAAGAUGGUGAUCUAUGCCUGGCCAGGAUGAAGCCAGAGGAAACUCUGGUGGAGGUCCGUAGCGAUUCUGACGUGCAAAUCGAUCGUCGGAGCUG
This 564-nucleotide ribosomal RNA is filed under the name Nagurus carinatus. RNAcentral describes it as "partial large subunit ribosomal RNA". It matches the Rfam family "Eukaryotic large subunit ribosomal RNA", at positions 658 to 913 of the family's 3401-position model. Lineage: Eukaryota; Metazoa; Arthropoda; Malacostraca; Isopoda; Trachelipodidae. The record is from RNAcentral.